Molecule: ribosomal RNA, 642 nt
Filed under: Desertoniscus zaitsevi
Lineage: Eukaryota; Metazoa; Arthropoda; Malacostraca; Isopoda; Agnaridae
Description: partial large subunit ribosomal RNA
Rfam family: Eukaryotic large subunit ribosomal RNA (bases 556-642)
Source: RNAcentral
UUUUCAUAGUGCUGAUCCGUUUCGGGGUGCUGAGCCGGGGUCAGCGUCGUCGUUCGUCGUCGUCUGGUCGAUAUCUUCCUUCGGGGGGAAGUCGAAGGCGGAUGCUCGGGCGGCGAUGCGCUCCUACCUCUCCCCUCGAUUUACCACCUCUACAUGUGGACGGCGCAAGCCCGGGGCCCGCAAUACGUUCCUCUCCGCCUCUAAGGCCCCACCCGGUGUUCUCGAAGCGAGUUUUCCUUCAUAGCUGGCGGAGUAGCGAGGGGCUCUGCCGCGACUGUAGCCCGGCGAAGCUGCUGUGUAUUGGCCCGCUGCUGCCUCCGCCGCCGUACACCAACGUCGGAUAGGCACGUGAUUAUUGCGCUCCCGUGCCCAUUCGUCGUGGUUGCUGUAGUGGUGGUGGUGGUAGUAUGCAGCGCAGUGGCUACCGUCGUGUUGUAAGUCGCGGUUAUCCUCUCACCCCUGCUCCGUCGGUAUAGUGUUGAAAAGGGGAGCUCGCCCGAGGCGUCGGAUCGCUGGCGCGAGACGGACGGCGGGUACCUUGAGCGCACAUUCUAGGACCCGAAAGAUGGUGAUCUAUGCGUGGCGAGGAUGAAGCCAGGGGAAACCCUGGUGGAAGUCCGUCGCGAUUCUGACGUGCAAAUC